This 468-nucleotide long non-coding RNA is filed under the name Anser cygnoides (Swan goose). Its description in RNAcentral is "lncRNA (ENSACDG00005016482.1)". The record is from RNAcentral. Lineage: Eukaryota; Metazoa; Chordata; Aves; Anseriformes; Anatidae.
AUGGCUUUAUUUUCAGCUGGGAAACGAAUGGGAAAUGGAAGCCCAGUCCUGGAAGGGACCACAGGCUCAGAUCCCAGCAGUCUGCCAGCAAAGACAAUGUUGCUGUUGGUCUCUCACCAACAUGGACAAACACUUGGAGCACACUCAACCAAGACACCAGAUGUUUUAGAACAAAGCAUCAUCAAGCCAAGUCAGCAGUGGCAGAGGCCUGUUCAGAAGAGUCAGCCACAUGUCAUGGUGGCUCAUGGCCUAAGAAGGAUUGCAAAGGCAAGGCUGGCUCGAGCACAGAGUGCUGGAAGUUGCUGUGAUUGUACUGCAGAUGUGACGUGGGGACCUGGUGUGUGUCACGACCUUUCCACGCUGGAGUUUUUGCAAAUGACAUUGGGUCCACUUGACCCAGAGUUUUUUGUUGGUGAAGCUUACUGCCGUGCUCCAGACGUGCUUCUGAAACUUUUUGCUGAGGCUCUG